UGAAUGCUCAUCUAGGACUUAAAGGAAAAAGGAUCAUGGUUCAUCAUCAUGGUCUUCGAUGGCGCCCUCCAUAACGAAAUGUUGUUACUGAAGAGACAGGACUCACCCCGGGGCCCAGAGCCGGCACGGUCAGAGGAUUUCCUCCUGUCCAACCUGAUUGCAAUGGUCCUGUUGAUAGUUAGUUUAAAUGAAACCACAUGGACAACACGCAGACACACACACAAAUAUACGCACACACACACACACACACACACACCAGUGACGAGCAGUGUGUUUUGACAUAAGGCAUGCUGAUGAGAUGGUGCGUGAAAGUGUAGUAUCCUCGAAAAUGUGUAAUUUAGCCGAGUCACUGGGGGCAUUGUCACGUGAACAAAAUGCUCAGGCGUAAUCUGCUUUGCUUCCAACAAACAUUCAGCGCUUUGAAUGUGUGUCAAAAUUGUGAACCGUUUUUUCCCCAUUAUUUGUAAAUGUUUAUGUGAAACUCGAGGUGUGGUGAGAGAAAGGCUGUAACAUCUCGGAAUCCAGGAGAAGCUAAGCAAGGCUGGCACAGUUAAAAAAAAAAAAAAAAACUCUUAUCAAAGCUAUGCCGGAGACUUUUGGAAACAAGAGCAGAGCUGAAAUGACUAUUUUACUCAAUGGACGAUUAGAGGAUAUAACAUUAAUGGGCGUAGCUAUAGUUCUGGCGGGACUCUCUAGUCAUGCGCUCCCCAUCAGCUGACUGAUAAUGUAGUCCAAUCAAAUGCACAUACACUGAAAGAAGGUACAUUUAAGACCUUCCAUCUAAAACAACCACUCUGCAAAGUUAAGUGUGGUGAGCCCACCACCGCCAUAGCCUCCACCUGCUUUAGUUCUGCUCUACAUUGUACCAAAACAAUGGGUUGAGAGAUAUCUGGCUUACCCCUUGCAUAUUGCUCCCUGUUGUCAAAUGUUGGAAUGCUGUUGGUAUUCUGUGUAUGACAUGUAAUGAACCUACAUUUAUAUUUUAUUUCUACAUUGUUUUGUUUUAUUUUGACAUAAUUCUGUAUUUUAUUUGUGGUCAUAAGGUCAUCUUAUUUAAUUUUGUCAAUCAUCAGUUCAACAUGCGUGGUUAGGGUUAGAGAUUGGUGAUUGUUCCAUUCCUGAUUUCAUGCGAUAUAUAGCGCGGAGAAUUCCGGAAGGGACGGGCUUGACUCUCUCCGCUCUAGUGGAUGCCUUAUCGCUUGGACACGCCUUAUUGUUGGAAUUUGGACGCUCUUCACUCUCUCCGCUCUCGUGGAUGCCCUAUCGUUUGGACGCUCUCCGACGCUCCGUGGUCGCGAUGGACAUUAUUGGACUUCAUAAGCACAUUCUUCUGAAAGUGAACCUUUGUGUUUAGGAAAGAGGGGAAAAGUAGUGUAACAUUGUGAACUAUGAAAACCUUGAUGCCGAAGUUUUUCAGAUAAAUAUUUGAAACUCA
This is a long non-coding RNA of Gadus macrocephalus (Pacific cod), 1435 nucleotides long. RefSeq lists it as uncharacterized. The record is from RefSeq and is a predicted model, not a curated record. NCBI's taxonomy places the organism in Eukaryota, Metazoa, Chordata, Actinopteri, Gadiformes, Gadidae. The transcript has 2 exons.